CCGGCCCGCCCGGGGGAACCGACGGACCCGCCUGGGCUGCCCCGCACCGGCCCCUGGGCGGGAGCUGCGCCGCGGGAGCUGCCCCGGCCCCUCCGCCCCACGGCUGCACCGCUCCGUGUGCGCUGCAGGCGGUGUGUCCGAACAGGCUGCUCUCCCGCACCACAGCGGCUGCGGUGAUACGAUUUCCUAGCGGGGACGCUGUUGGAAGACGACGACUUGUAAACCAAAAAUAAGACUCUCUGCAUCGCCACAGCAGCUGCUGCGGUGUGCUGAUCCCGCAGCAUCCCCACGGGAGAUGUAAGGUAGUUCAUUUUGUUACUAACACUUUGGCCAUUGCGCUCCUGUGUGCCCUUUUCCCAUGGACACUUCCUCUCGCACUCGGAAAUACCAUUUAAGAGAAAGACGGUGGUCCUAAAUCAUCAUUUUUAUAACUAAUGACAGGGCAGUGUCUUUGGUGGGACCCUCCAAAUAAAAAGUCUCCCCCUAUGAUGGGGAAUCCUCACAGAUUUAUGCUCCAGGCAGCAGACAGAGAUUGGAUUGCAGCUCUGUCCCUGCUGCCCUGCAAUAGCAGGAUUUCCCAAAAAACUGAGUCAGGUGUCUCAGUGAAUAACCCCCCUUCGAUUGCUCCCUGCGCUGGUGGGAGCAAGUGAAGGGCUCUCAGUGCACUCAGCUCCUCUCCAGUCCCAACUCCACCUGUUCAUACCCUGUACAACCCUCUGGAGUCACCACACUCAACUGCUCUGUUACCUUCUCUUUCCUCUCAAUGAAGGUCAUACUUUUAUUCAGGAUAGUUUUUCCUGAUUGUCCUUUAGGAGCAGGUUUGUGAUGAAUCAAAAUAAACCACUGUUAAAAUGCAUUAAAUACAGGUUGCACCAGUUUAAUUAGGAUAAGUUUAAAUGUCUCUUGAAACUAAACCAGUGCAUAUUUCUUCAAUAAAGUGGCCAGUAAAAUACUGAAAGCCCAAAGGUUUGGUCAGGAUGUAUGAGCAGGAGAUGGUGCAGUAAGUGAAUGGGAAAGCACAGCAGUGGUUAUGAAAGGCAGCAUUAAAUGUACACAAGAGCUCUAUACAUCAAAAAUUUGCUUAGCAAAUGAGUAUUGCUUUUGUGGAGUGCUACAGUUGAAUUAAAUUUUGAUUUUUAACAAAUGUUUCUAGCUGGAAAUUUAAUUAAAACAUAGUAGAUGCUGUGACUCAAUUUGCUAUUGCACAAAUAGAAAGAAUAAUUUGGGUCGGGAAAAAUA
Molecule: long non-coding RNA, 1239 nt
Organism: Corapipo altera (White-ruffed manakin)
Lineage: Eukaryota; Metazoa; Chordata; Aves; Passeriformes; Pipridae
Exons: 2
Source: RefSeq, a predicted model, not a curated record